UACGUAGGUGACGAGCGUUGUCCGGAAUUAUUGGGCGUAAAGGGAGCGCAGGCGGUUGGUAUAGUCUGAUGUGAAAGCCCGCGGCUUAACCGUGGAAGGGCAUUGGAAACUGUCCGACUUGAGUGCAGAAGAGGUAAGUGGAAUUCCUGGUGUAGCGGUGAAAUGCGUAGAUAUAUGGAGGAACACCAGUGGCGAAGGCGACUUACUGGUCUGUGAUUGACGCUGAGGCUCGAAAGCGUGGGUAGCGAACAGG
RNAcentral lists this ribosomal RNA (253 nucleotides) under uncultured bacterium. RNAcentral's name for it is "partial 16S ribosomal RNA". It matches the Rfam family "Bacterial small subunit ribosomal RNA", at positions 524 to 776 of the family's 1533-position model. The record is from RNAcentral.